UACAGGGGGGGCAAGCGUUGUUCGGAAUUACUGGGCGUAAAGGGCGAGUAGGCGGCCAACUAAGUCCGACGUGAAAUCCCCAGGCUUAACCGGGGAACUGCAUCUGAUACUGGAUGGCUUGAGAUUGGGAGAGGGAUGCGGAAUUCCAGGUGUAGCGGUGAAAUGCGUAGAUAUCUGGAGGAACACCGGUGGCGAAGGCGGCAUCCUGGACCAACACUGACGCUGAGGAGCGAAAGCCAGGGGAGCAAACGGG
This 253-nucleotide ribosomal RNA is filed under the name uncultured bacterium. RNAcentral describes it as "partial 16S ribosomal RNA". It matches the Rfam family "Bacterial small subunit ribosomal RNA", at positions 524 to 776 of the family's 1533-position model. The record is from RNAcentral.